GUAGUGGUGGUGGUGGUGGUGGUGGUGGAGAUGGUAGUGGUGGAGAUGGUAGUGGUGGUGGAGAUGGUGGUGGUGGUGGUGUUGGUGGGAGUGCUAUGAGAUACGACGCGGAAGAGAAAGGAGAUGGCCGUGGAGAGAAAGGACUACUUAAUGUGGAAGAGAAAGCUCGUCGAAUGAAGGACCGAAGGAAAGGGAGAAGGAGAGAAGGAGAUAGGCAGCAGGGUGUUGUGGGAGGAGCACGAGACGCGGAAAAAGAACGCACAUCGUGGAAGGAUAUACGCUAAUGCACGAGAAGGACAACGACGACGAGAA
Long non-coding RNA from Vespula vulgaris, 312 nucleotides. RefSeq lists it as uncharacterized. The record is from RefSeq and is a predicted model, not a curated record. The transcript is spliced from 2 exons. Lineage: Eukaryota; Metazoa; Arthropoda; Insecta; Hymenoptera; Vespidae.